Molecule: long non-coding RNA, 396 nt
Organism: Mytilus californianus (California mussel)
Lineage: Eukaryota; Metazoa; Mollusca; Bivalvia; Mytilida; Mytilidae
Exons: 2
Source: RefSeq, a predicted model, not a curated record
UGUGCAUUGUUUAUUUAUAAAGCUCAAUUUUUAUAAUAUUUCUGGAUCCUCAGAUCAGUAUCAAGUGAAUAAUUGAAAUGUCAUAGCAGGAAAAUCAAAGCAGUACAGAGAUGUUAUCCUUUGUUUAGUGGAGGUGUGCCUCAAAAGCUUGAUUGGCAGACAUUCAAAUAUAGAUGUGUCCAACUAUAUACCAAUGAUCAGAGUAUGAUCAAAUUACACAAUCCAGACCAAGCUAAAACAUAUAUACAAUUCAAUUCAAUUCAAUAUUUUAUUGGAAAGGGGACAAUAGAGGUGUGAUCCAAAUACAUAUAUAGUUAACAAUUACAUCUACAACAUAUAAAAUAACUGUAAAAACCAGUCUUAUUCAGUUUACAAGUAAUAAAUUAUUCCUUAUUG